AGUGAACGCUGGCGGUAGGCCUAACACAUGCAAGUCGAACGGCAGCACAGUAAGAGCUUGCUCUUACGGGUGGCGAGUGGCGGACGGGUGAGGAAUACAUCGGAAUCUACUUUUUCGUGGGGGAUAACGUAGGGAAACUUACGCUAAUACCGCAUACGACCUACGGGUGAAAGCAGGGGAUCUUCGGACCUUGCGCGAUUGAAUGAGCCGAUGUCGGAUUAGCUAGUUGGCGGGGUAAAGGCCCACCAAGGCGACGAUCCGUAGCUGGUCUGAGAGGAUGAUCAGCCACACUGGAACUGAGACACGGUCCAGACUCCUACGGGAGGCAGCAGUGGGGAAUAUUGGGCAAUGGGCGCAAGCCUGAUCCAGCCAUACCGCGUGGGUGAAGAAGGCCUUCGGGUUGUAAAGCCCUUUUGUUGGGAAAGAAAAGAAGCAGGUUAAUACGCCGCUGUUCUGACGGUACCCAAAGAAUAAGCACCGGCUAACUUCGUG
RNAcentral lists this ribosomal RNA (492 nucleotides) under uncultured bacterium. RNAcentral's name for it is "partial 16S ribosomal RNA". It matches the Rfam family "Bacterial small subunit ribosomal RNA", at positions 29 to 507 of the family's 1533-position model. The record is from RNAcentral.